UGGGGAAUAUUGCACAAUGGGCGCAAGCCUGAUGCAGCCAUGCCGCGUGUAUGAAGAAGGCCUUCGGGUUGUAAAGUACUUUCAGCGGGGAGGAAGGGAGUAAAGUUAAUACCUUUACUCAUUGACGUUACCCGCAGAAGAAGCACCGGCUAACUCCGUGCCAGCAGCCGCGGUAAUACGGAGGGUGCAAGCAUUAAUCGGAAUUACUGGGCGUAAAGCGCACGCAGGCGGUUUGUUAAGUCAGAUGUGAAAUCCCCGGGCUCAACCUGGGAACUGCAUCUGAUACUGGCAAGCUUGAGUCUAGUAGAGGGGGGUAGAAUUCCAGGUGUAGCGGUGAAAUGCGUAGAGAUCUGGAGGAAUACCGGUGGCGAAGGCGGCCCCCUGGACGAAGACUGACGCUCAGGUGCGAAAGCGUGGGGAGCAAACAGG
This 429-nucleotide ribosomal RNA is filed under the name Chloroflexota bacterium. Its description in RNAcentral is "Chloroflexi bacterium partial 16S ribosomal RNA". It matches the Rfam family "Bacterial small subunit ribosomal RNA", at positions 355 to 776 of the family's 1533-position model. The record is from RNAcentral. Lineage: Bacteria; Bacillati; Chloroflexota.